This 466-nucleotide ribosomal RNA is filed under the name uncultured bacterium. RNAcentral describes it as "partial 16S ribosomal RNA". It matches the Rfam family "Bacterial small subunit ribosomal RNA", at positions 28 to 507 of the family's 1533-position model. The record is from RNAcentral.
GACGAACGCUGGCGGUGUGCUUAACACAUGCAAGUCGAACGGUAAGGCCCUUUCGGGGGUACACGAGUGGCGAACGGGUGCGUAACACGUGAGUAACCUGCCCUCAUCUCUGGGAUAACAGUCGGAAACGGUUGCUAAUACUGGAUAUGAGCUUGCAAGGCAUCUUGUGGGUUGGAAAGAUUUUUUUGGUUGGGGAUGGACUCGCGGCCUAUCAGCUUGUUGGUGAGGUAGUGGCUCACCAAGGCUUCGACGGGUAGCCGGCCUGAGAGGGCGACCGGCCACAUUGGGACUGAGAUACGGCCCAAACGCCUACGGGAGGCAGCAGUGGGGAAUAUUGCACAAUGGACGGAAGUCGGAUGCAGCAACGCCGCGUGCGGGAUGACGGCCUUCGGGUUGGAAACCGCUUUCAAUUGUGACGAAGCUUUUUGUGACGGUAGCAGUAGAAGAAGCACCGGCUAACUACGUG